RNAcentral lists this ribosomal RNA (253 nucleotides) under uncultured bacterium. RNAcentral describes it as "partial 16S ribosomal RNA". It matches the Rfam family "Bacterial small subunit ribosomal RNA", at positions 524 to 776 of the family's 1533-position model. The record is from RNAcentral.
UACGAAGGGGGCUAGCGUUGUUCGGAAUCACUGGGCGUAAAGGGCGCGUAGGCGGCUCGGUAAGUAGGGGGUGAAAUCCUGCGGCUUAACCGCAGGGCUGCCUUCUAAACUGUCGAGCUCGAGCACGGUAGAGGCAGAUGGAAUUCCCGGUGUAGCGGUGGAAUGCGUAGAGAUCGGGAAGAACAUCAGUGGCGAAGGCGGUCUGCUGGGCCGUUGCUGACGCUGAGGCGCGACAGCGUGGGGAGCAAACAGG